GAUGAACGCUGGCGGCGUGCCUAAUACAUGCAAGUCGAGCGAACGGACGAGAAGCUUGCUUCUCUGAUGUUAGCGGCGGACGGGUGAGUAACACGUGGAUAACCUACCUAUAAGACUGGGAUAACUUCGGGAAACCGGAGCUAAUACCGGAUAAUAUUUUGAACCGCAUGGUUCAAAAGUGAAAGACGGUCUUGCUGUCACUUAUCGAUGGAUCCGCGCUGCAUUAGCUAGUUGGUAAGGUAACGGCUUACCAAGGCAACGAUGCAUAGCCGACCUGAGAGGGUGAUCGGCCACACUGGAACUGAGACACGGUCCAGACUCCUACGGGAGGCAGCAGUAGGGAAUCUUCCGCAAUGGGCGAAAGCCUGACGGAGCAACGCCGCGUGAGUGAUGAAGGUCUUCGGAUCGUAAAACUCUGUUAUUAGGGAAGAACAUAUGUGUAAGUAACUGUGCACAUCUUGACGGUACCUAAUCAGAAAGCCACGGCUAACUACGU
RNAcentral lists this ribosomal RNA (496 nucleotides) under uncultured bacterium. RNAcentral's name for it is "partial 16S ribosomal RNA". It matches the Rfam family "Bacterial small subunit ribosomal RNA", at positions 28 to 506 of the family's 1533-position model. The record is from RNAcentral.